AUUGAACGCUGGCGGCAUGCCUUACACAUGCAAGUCGAACGGCAGCACGGUUGCUUGCACCUGGUGGCGAUGGGCGAACGGGGGAGUAAUACAUAGGAACAUGUCCUUUAGUUGGGGAUAGCCCGACGAAAGCCGGAUUAAUACCACAUACGAUCUCCGGAUGCGAGCGGAGGCCCGUGAGCUUCCGACCUCUCGGGUUUGCAGAUGCCUGAUUAGCUAGUUGGUGGGGUAAAGGCCUACCAAGGCGACGAUCAGUAGCUGGUCUGAGAGGACGACCAGCCACACUGGGACUGAGACACGGUCCAGACUCCUACGGGAGGCAGCAGUGGGGAAUUUUGGACAAUGGGCGAAAGCCUGAUCCAGCAAUGCCGCGUGUGUGAAGAAGGCCUUCGGGUUGUAAAGCACUUUUGUCCGGAAAGAAAACCUUGGCCCUAAUACGGUCGGGGGAUGACGGUACCGGAAGAAUAAGCACCGGCUAACUACGUG
This 486-nucleotide ribosomal RNA is filed under the name uncultured bacterium. RNAcentral describes it as "partial 16S ribosomal RNA". It matches the Rfam family "Bacterial small subunit ribosomal RNA", at positions 30 to 507 of the family's 1533-position model. The record is from RNAcentral.